AGGCAGCAGUGGGGAAUCUUGCGCAAUGGGCGAAAGCCUGACGCAGCGACGCCGCGUGGGUGACGAAGGCCUUCGGUUGUAAAGCCCUGUGGGGUAGAACGAACUGGCAUCGGGCUAAUAUCCCGGUGUCUUGACGGUACUGCCUUAGCAAGCAUCGGCUAACUCUGUGCCAGCAGCCGCGGUAAGACAGAGGAUGCGAACGUUGCUCGGAUUUACUGGGCGUAAAGCGCGUGUAGGCGGUCUCGUUAGUCGGGUGUGAAGCCCCGGGCUCAACCCGGGAAGUGCACCCGAUACUGCGAGACUGGGGUACUGAAGAGGAGAGCGGAAUUCCCGGUGUAGAGGUGAAAUUCGUAGAUAUCGGGAGGAACACCAGUGGCGAAGGCGGCUCUCUGGGCAGAUACCGACGCUGAGACGCGAAAGCGUGGGGGAGCGAAAACAGGAUUAGAUACCCUGGUAGUCCAGCUGUAAACGAUGACGACUGGGUGUUGC
This 489-nucleotide ribosomal RNA is filed under the name uncultured bacterium. RNAcentral's name for it is "bacterial SSU rRNA". It matches the Rfam family "Bacterial small subunit ribosomal RNA", at positions 346 to 826 of the family's 1533-position model. The record is from RNAcentral.